AGGCGAUAAUCAUGUUUCUAUUAUGGAGUCACUGACUUCGGCGACUCUUCUACAAACAACAGAAUAUACAAUUAACUCCCUCAAGUCGUAAUUUGAUACACGCAAACCGAACACUCUUUCGUUUCAUCUUGACUCCUUGCUG
Molecule: non-coding RNA, 142 nt
Organism: Caenorhabditis elegans
Lineage: Eukaryota; Metazoa; Nematoda; Chromadorea; Rhabditida; Rhabditidae
Source: Ensembl